Molecule: long non-coding RNA, 2397 nt
Filed under: Mytilus galloprovincialis (Mediterranean mussel)
Lineage: Eukaryota; Metazoa; Mollusca; Bivalvia; Mytilida; Mytilidae
Source: RNAcentral
GUGAACUCCGAGAAAAAUUCAAAACGAAAAGUCCCUCAUUAAAUGGCAAAAUCAAUAGAACAAACAGCACAUAAAACAAGUGGACAACAACUGUCAUAUUACUGACUUGCUACAGGCUUUUUCUUAUGUAGACAAUGGUGGAUCGAACCUGGUUUGAUAGCUAGCUAAACCUCUUACUUGUAUGACAGUCGCAUCAAAUUCCACUAUGAAGCAAACACAUUUGUCAAACUUAUGUUUUUUUUUUAUAAAAAGAUUAUACCACAAUGUUGUACCUCUGUUUUUGACAUUUUUUACAUAUAUCAUCUGUUUGUUUAAUUCAUGCAUCGUUGUCAAUAUAAUGGAAUUUGAUACGACUGUAAUACAAGGGAGAGGUUAAACUAGCUAUACACCAGGUUCAAACCACCAUUUUCCACAUAAACAAGGACUGUACUAAGUCAGGAAUAUUAGAGUUGUUAUACCUUCGUUUGAUAUGUUUGAGCUUUUGAUUUUGCCAUUUGAUUGGCAACAUUCGUUUUUGAAUUAUUUUCGUAGAUCAGUAUUUUUGUGAAGUUACUUAUGUCAAAAUGAUAACUUUUAUGUCUUACUAUACGUUAGUUUUUUUUUCUUAUUGUUGAAGGUCUUUCGGUAACAUUUGUUACCAUCAUCGUUUUUUUGUGGCUAGUUUACAAUCAUUUCACAUCAUUUUAAUUAUACAGUAUUUGGAGAUCUUAAAUAAGCUUACCAACAGACGAAGGAUGCCAUGUGUGGAGCAGGAUUCGCUUUCCCUUCCGUUGCACCUAAGAUCACCCCUAGGUUUUGGUAGGGGGUUCGUGUUGCUUUUUUUUAGUCUUCUAUGUUGUGUCAUGUGUACUAUUGUUUGUCUGUUUGUCUUUUUCAUUUUUUGCCAUGGCGUUGUCAGUUUAUUUUAGAUUUAUGAGUUUGACUGUCCCUCUGGUAUCUUUUGUCCCUCUUUUAUACAAAAGUGACCUUCAAACUCAAAAAUAAACUACUAACUCCAAGGCUAAAGAAGAAAACGACAAACAGAUAAAGAACAGUACAUAGAAAACCAAAGAUUAAGCAACAUGAAACCUUCUAAAAACUAAGGUUGAUCUUAUGUGCUUUUGAAGGGCAAACAGAACAAUUCGGACUUCCUUCUGAUUAAAAGUCUUGGCAUCGUGACCCAAGGUUCUUUAUCCACAAGCGGGAUACGUCGUGUUGCUAAUGUUUGUACAAACUCAGUUGAAAGUCUCAUUCGGUAGAUCAAUCUGUCUAUAAAUAAUCUGGUGAUAUUGUCAAUAAGAUAACUAUUUACUAUGUAACAAAUAAAGUUGACCCAAAACAGUUUUUGGUCACUGUUCGGCCUUUAGUGAUGAAAGUAAAUCAUAUCGAUUAAAAAAGAUAGAAAACCUAAAUAUAAAAAAUAAACAAUUGAAAAAGUAACUCUAUUACAGUUAACUCUCGUUGUCUCGAACUCGGUUGACUCGAAAUUUCGGAUGAGUCGAAGUUUUCACGUGGUCCCGAACUUUAUUCCAUACAAAAGUAUGUAAUUCGACUCCUGAUGAGUCGAAAUUGGAUGAGUCGAAAUUUCGGUUGAGUCGAACUAAAUUUACGGUCCCAAGGUUAACAAAAGCAUUCAAAAAUCAUUUUUUAUCUCGAACUAAUACACAUAUGUCAAAACAUGACCUCCGGGAUUUAAAUGGAUUGAAGGGUUAAUCUGACAAUACACGUGUAAUUAAAUUUCCGGUCACUGACCACUGUAUUGAUUUAUGACAUGCUAUUUCCAUGAGUGUUUUCCUAAGAUUAUCUUUUGUAGAAUUUUUAUAAAUAAUUAGUGAUAAAUUGUUAAUGUUCAUGAAAAAGUAUUUAAAUGUUUACAAAACAAUUAAUUUGUGAUUUACACUAAUGAGCUUGGGUGUGUAUAAAGUGAGGAUUUUGGCUUCCGUUGAUGAUCACCUAAAAACUACUCAAACGGCGUCUUUAAUCUAAUUAUAUGUUCUUUUGAAAACAAAGAGUGAGAUAAAACAAAAUGAAUAGAAAUCAAAAUUUUCUUAAAUCUCUUGUAUCCGAGAAUAAACAAUUUUGUCAGCUAUUAGCGACCUGAAUUACGAAACUGUCGAUUGGAAAUUACUCUCUUGGAAAAGCCAUAGGAUUUUUUUUUUAAUUGAAACAAUUGAAUAAGUAAAAAUAACAGUCAUUAUAAUAAUAAAAGACUGUGACAUACAAAUACAUCGAUCUGAUACUAGAAUAUCGAUCCCCUUGUCAUAUUCACCCGGAUUUAUUUUAGCUUUACCAAACUAAGCAAGAGUUGUGUCCCUUAGAAUGUCGAACUUCCGGUGUUCGUUUGAGUCGAACUACGUGUAUCUCGAAAUAUUUCUCUGGUCCGACUGACUUCGACAUAACGAGAGUCGACUGUAUUUG